Papaver somniferum (opium poppy) is the source of this 661-nucleotide RNA transcript. It is a transcript of the gene named pyruvate kinase 1, cytosolic-like, with no coding region annotated. The record is from RefSeq and is a predicted model, not a curated record. The transcript is spliced from 6 exons. NCBI's taxonomy places the organism in Eukaryota, Viridiplantae, Streptophyta, Magnoliopsida, Ranunculales, Papaveraceae.
UCCGUGGGAGAGGAAGUUGAGUUUCCAUAUCAUGUACUUGGACAAUGAUGAGCUUUAUAAUUACUAUGUAGUAACUCGUGUUGUCGACAGUAUGACAGACAACCUCUGAGCAACACGAAGCAACUGAUAUGGCUAAUGCUGUAUUAGAUGGUGUUGACUCAAUUCUUCCGGGUGCUGAGACUCUUAGAGGAUUGUACCCUACUGAAACCAUUUCCACUGUUCGUCGAAUUUGUGCAGAGGUUAUGCUAGAUACAGUAGGCCCUGAAUUGCAAGUCGUUAAUAAAAGUGAAAAAACGAUUGCACUAGAGGCUGAAUCUUUGGUUCUUUCGACUCCGGAUCAAGAUAAAGAAGCAACUUCAGAUCUCUUGCCAAUCAGUUAUGUUGGAUUAGCAAAGGUACCUGUUGGGUGAAAGAGGUAAAUGUGGUUUGCAUAGUGAAGAAUUCUGCGAUACUAUCUGGGACAUUGUUCACUUUGCACGUCUAUCUAUCUCCCUACCCAAACUGACAAAGAUAAAGAAGUUAUACGCACCUGGGGUGUUCAAAACAAAAUGGAAUUUCUCCCCCUAUCGGAUACAUUCAGAGGAUGUUUGUCAAUAGGCUCGUGGGUUCUUGUCUACUCUGGGUCAACUUAGUCAGCCUCAGAUUUUCGCUAAGAUUGGGA